CACAGGGGUGGUGCAAUGCUGUCAGUCUUUUCAGACAAAAAUUCUUUUCAACUUCUUCUCUCUCAGGUGGCUGUUGUACUUCUAUUGUGCCGUUUGCCAACUUCCUGUACACUGGCCUGGGGUUUUUCGCAAAUUGCUUGUUUAUGUGUUUUGCAUGCAUUUUCUUGUCUUUGUUCCUAAUCUGUGCGGCGAAAGCUUUCACUCAGGCUUGAUGUUUAGCCAGCCUCCCACCCACCUGUUUAUCUUCAACAUUGUAUUUUAUUUUAAUGAGACUAACUUUUUUUUUUUUUUUUUUAAAGGAGAUUCCUUUUAUGGUUGUGGCCUCCCAAAAAUGUCCCACCAUCCAGGACAUUUACCACAGUCGGUGCCAGUGUAAGGCAUGCAGCAUCAUUAAGGAUCACACUCACCCCGCAAAAGGACUAUUCGAACUGUUACCCUCUGGCAGGACGUACAGGAGUCUGCCACCCGUACCAAAAGACUCAGGAACAGUUACUAUCCACAGGCUGUCAGACUACUGAACUCUAAAUAACACAGAAUUAUGAUAAUAACACUGCACUAAGCCACUUCUUUAACACUAUAUGUCUAUUGCUGUUAUCAAUGUGACUGUAUCUCGUAUGUCACCACCUUACCUUUCAUAACUCAUCUCAGUUUUUACUAUUUAUUAUUACCUGUGCAGUAACUAGCUACAUAACUGUGCAAUAUGUCAUGUGCAAUAUGAACAAUACUACAACCUGUGAAUACUACAACCUGACUACUACUGACUAUUAUUAUUAUUUAAUUAUUUUUAUAUGCUUACAUUUUCGGUAUUUAUAUUGCAUGCUAUUAGUACUUCCUGCGAGUUUGAACAGUCCUUCUCAUCCUAAGCAUUUCAUUGCACUGUUGACUCUGUGUUAACCUGCAUAUGAUCAAUAAAUUAUCUUGUAUCUUGUAAGCCGAUGCACGAAAACGGCACCACCAAUCACAUUAUAAUUUGGCACAGUUUCAGGAUAUUGACAAAAUAAAUGUGUGCAAGAAACUUACAGUUUAGUCUGUCUGGAUAUUUAUUUUCUGUGGAGAAAUUGUGUAGAAUGGAGGUUUACAACCACAUUUCUUAUUUUUUCCAUUUUUGGGUGAACUCGGCGGAGCCUUGCAAUCGCGUGUUUUCUGCCACUUUUCAAGCCUAUAAAUUCCGUUCGAGCAUUUGAAAACAGCACAACGUGCGCCUGUCAUUAUUGUAUGUGUCGCUUAAGGCUUAAAGCCUUUGAAACAAGCCCUGUAAGUCUUAACUUCAAAGUCUGCUAACGCUACCAUAUACGAAAUUCAAUGGUAGCAGUGUGUGUUUGGGAGCUGUAAUUUUUUACCCUGUUAGACCCACGCAUCCGCAGAAACGUUGCACACUUCGCUUAUUCGUCUUCUAAUUCCCACUGCUCUGGGUCUGGGUGCAUCUGUAUACUGUUUUGUGGUUGAAGUGGUGAAUGAGUCCUAAUUUGUUGGGGCGGUGGAUGACUCAUUUUUGGGGGGCAGUGCCUGACUCCUAAGUUGUUGGGGUGGUGUUUGACUUCUACUUCUCCUUUUGUGCAAGAGGCUGGCUUGCUUUGGUGUUCUUUGCUGGAUGCAUGAAUUAUCAUGUGUGUGUUCAGGCUGCUCUUGUGUCCAAAUCUUUUACCACACUCAGAACAGACAAAUGCUUUUUGCCCUGUAUGAAUUACCAUGUGUCUGUUCAGGUUGCCCUUUCCCUAAAUCUUCGACCACACUCAGAACAAACAAAUGGUUUUUGUCCUGUCUGAAUUCUAAUCUGUUUGUUCAGACUGCUCUUAUGUUUCUGUCUUUUACUCAUAUCAGAACAGCUAAAUGGUUUUCCACUCGCUUGCCUCUCCUUUUGUUGCUCUGAGUUGUUCAUGUGACCAGAUG
Thalassophryne amazonica is the source of this 1890-nucleotide long non-coding RNA. RefSeq lists it as uncharacterized. Lineage: Eukaryota; Metazoa; Chordata; Actinopteri; Batrachoidiformes; Batrachoididae. The transcript is spliced from 3 exons. The record is from RefSeq and is a predicted model, not a curated record.